RNAcentral lists this ribosomal RNA (305 nucleotides) under uncultured bacterium. RNAcentral's name for it is "bacterial SSU rRNA". It matches the Rfam family "Bacterial small subunit ribosomal RNA", at positions 333 to 635 of the family's 1533-position model. The record is from RNAcentral.
UUGCGCCUACGGGACGCAGCAGUGAGGAAUAUUGGUCAAUGGGCGGAAGCCUGAACCAGCCAAGUCGCGUGAGGGAAUAAGGCCCUACGGGUCGUAAACCUCUUUUGCCGGGGAGCAAGGGCCGGGACGCGUCCCGGCCCGGAGAGUACCCGGAGAAAAAGCAUCGGCUAACUCCGUGCCAGCAGCCGCGGUAAUACGGAGGAUGCGAGCGUUAUCCGGAUUUAUUGGGUUUAAAGGGUGCGCAGGCGGCACGGCAAGCCGGCGGUCAAAUCUCGGGGCUCAACCCCGCUCAGCCGUCGGAACGG